Molecule: ribosomal RNA, 447 nt
Filed under: uncultured bacterium
Lineage: Bacteria
Description: bacterial SSU rRNA
Rfam family: Bacterial small subunit ribosomal RNA
Source: RNAcentral
UGGGGAAUUUUGGGCAAUGGGGGAAACCCUGACCCAGCAACGCCGCGUGAAGGAUGAAGUAUUUCGGUAUGUAAACUUCGAAAGAAUAGGAAGAAUAAAUGACGGUACUAUUUAUAAGGUCCGGCUAACUACGUGCCAGCAGCCGCGGUAAUACGUAGGGACCAAGCGUUGUUCGGAUUUAUUGGGCGUAAAGAGUUCGUAGGCGGUUAUUUAAGUCUGAUGUUAAAUACUGUGGCCCAACCACAGAACUGCAUUGGAUACUGGAUGACUUGAGUGCGGUAGAGGCAAGUGGAAUUCCCAGUGUAGCGGUGAAAUGCGUAGAUAUCGGGAGGAACAUCAGUGGCGAAGGCGGCCCUCUGGUCCAGUACUGACACUCAAGUGCGAAAGCGUGGGGAGCAAACAGGAUUAGAUACCCAGGUAGUCCCUGAGCGGGCUGGCAAGGCGCAU